GACGAACGCUGGCGGCGUGCUUAACACAUGCAAGUCGAACGGAAAGGCCCUGCUUUUGUGGGGUGCUCGAGUGGCGAACGGGUGAGUAACACGUGAGUAACCUGCCCUUGACUUUGGGAUAACUUCAGGAAACUGGGGCUAAUACCGGAUAGGAGCUCCUGCUGCAUGGUGGGGGUUGGGAAAGUUUCGGCGGUUGGGGAUGGACUCGCGGCUUAUCAGCUUGUUGGUGGGGUAGUGGCUUACCAAGGCUUUGACGGGUAGCCGGCCUGAGAGGGUGACCGGCCACAUUGGGACUGAGAUACGGCCCAGACUCCUACGGGAGGCAGCAGUGGGGAAUAUUGCACAAUGGGCGGAAGCCUGAUGCAGCAACGCCGCGUGCGGGAUGACGGCCUUCGGGUUGUAAACCGCUUUCGCCUGUGACGAAGCGUGAGUGACGGUAAUGGGUAAAGAAGCACCGGCUAACUACGUA
Molecule: ribosomal RNA, 469 nt
Filed under: uncultured bacterium
Lineage: Bacteria
Description: partial 16S ribosomal RNA
Rfam family: Bacterial small subunit ribosomal RNA
Source: RNAcentral